UUGGAGGGCAAGUCUGGUGCCAGCAGCCGCGGUAAUUCCAGCUCCAAUAGCGUAUAUUAAAGUUGUUGCAGUUAAAAAGCUCGUAGUUGAAUUUCGGGACCAUCAUGUCGGUCGUGCCUCGGUACGUACUGGCAUUGUUGGUUUCUCCCUUCUGACGAACCAUGAUGUCAUUUAUUUGGUGUUGUGGGAAAUCAGGACUGUUACUUUGAAAAAAUUAGAGUGUUUAAAGCAGGCUCACGCUUGAAUACAUUAGCAUGGAAUAAUGAAAUAGGACGUUUGAUUCUAUUUUGUUGGUUUCUAGGAUCGACGUAAUGAUUAAUAGGGAUAGUUGGGGGCAUUAGUAUUCAAUUGUCAGAGGUGAAAUUCUUGGAUUUAUUGAAGACUAACUACUGCGAAAGCAUUUGCCAAGGAUGUUUUCAUUAAUCAAGAACGAAAGUUAGGGGAUCGAAGACGAUCAGAUACCGUCGUAGUCUUAACCAUAAACUAUGCCGACUAGGGAUCGGAUGAUGUUAAUUUUUUAAUGACUCAUUCGGCGCCUUACGGGAAACA
This 549-nucleotide ribosomal RNA is filed under the name uncultured Glomus. Its description in RNAcentral is "SSU rRNA". It matches the Rfam family "Eukaryotic small subunit ribosomal RNA", at positions 548 to 1099 of the family's 1831-position model. Lineage: Eukaryota; Fungi; Glomeromycota; Glomeromycetes; Glomerales; Glomeraceae. The record is from RNAcentral.